RNAcentral lists this ribosomal RNA (233 nucleotides) under uncultured bacterium. RNAcentral describes it as "partial 16S ribosomal RNA". It matches the Rfam family "Bacterial small subunit ribosomal RNA", at positions 100 to 334 of the family's 1533-position model. The record is from RNAcentral.
CGGGACGGGUGAGUAAUGUCUGGGAAACUGCCUGAUGGAGGGGGAUAACUACUGGAAACGGUAGCUAAUACCGCAUAACGUCGCAAGACCAAAGAGGGGGAUCUUAGGGCCUCUUGCCAUCGGAUGUGCCCAGAUGGGAUUAGCUAGUAGGUGGGGUAACGGCUCACCUAGGCGACGAUCCCUAGCUGGUCUGAGAGGAUGACCAGCCACACUGGAACUGAGACACGGUCCAG